This 369-nucleotide ribosomal RNA is filed under the name uncultured bacterium. RNAcentral describes it as "bacterial SSU rRNA". It matches the Rfam family "Bacterial small subunit ribosomal RNA", at positions 1012 to 1380 of the family's 1533-position model. The record is from RNAcentral.
GUUCCUUUGUGGCCUGUGUGCAGGUGGUGCAUGGCUGUCGUCAGCUCGUGUCGUGAGGUGUUGGGUUAAGUCCCGCAACGAGCGCAACCCUUGUCUCAUGUUGCCAGCACGUAAUGGUGGGGACUCGUGAGAGACUGCCGCGGUCAACUCGGAGGAAGGUGGGGAUGACGUCAAGUCAUCAUGCCCCUUAUGUCCAGGGCUUCACACAUGCUACAAUGGCCGGUACAAAGGGCUGCAAUGCCGCAAGGUUAAGCGAAUCCUUAUUAAAGCCGGUCUCAGUUCGGAUCGGGGUCUGCAACUCGACCCCGUGAAGUCGGAGUCGCUAGUAAUCGCAGAUCAGCAAUGCUGCGGUGAAUACGUUCCCCGGGC